This 106-nucleotide small nuclear RNA is filed under the name Saimiri boliviensis boliviensis (Bolivian squirrel monkey). Lineage: Eukaryota; Metazoa; Chordata; Mammalia; Primates; Cebidae. The record is from RNAcentral.
UAAAAAUAAUUAUUUUUAAUUUUAAUUACUUGAAAUGAUACAGAGAAGAUUAGCAUAGCCCCUGUGUAAGGAUGACAGGAAAAAAAAUACUGUGUUUGAAAUGUUU